CUUAGCCACUCUUGAGUUGUUGCUGUUGUUUAAAUCACGUGAUCUGCUUGACCCUUCUAGUUUUGACCCUGGAUCAAACAACAUCAAGUAGUAUCACACCAGCAGAGAACCAGGGAGCUCAACUGACAGCCACGCUUGGCAAUAUUUUGCUUCCAUCUCAACGGUAACCAUAACAGAUACUCAGAGCCAUCUUAGGCAUCAAUCUCCUGGUUAGUGUUUGCACUUCCAUUAACUUUAAUUAUUCAGAGGCGGCAGGGAGGAGUCAGGCAGCUUCACCCUAUCCCCUGCAGGAGAUCAUUAGGAUUAGACAGGUGAUAGGAUACUGAGCCAUUAGGAAAAUUGCAUCUAUUACAGACGACUGCACAAGGCCACCUCUGCCGCUGUCUGUCUCUCUCUGUCUCACGUGCGUCAAAACCCUCCAUAAACCCACUUUUCCAUGAAACCUUCAACUUCCUCAAUUCUUCCCUGGGACUUCAUUUUCUCACAUUUGUCCUUUGUCACCCUUGCCGUUUCACUGUCCUUCACGC
This is a non-coding RNA of Podarcis lilfordi (Lilford's wall lizard), 527 nucleotides long. Lineage: Eukaryota; Metazoa; Chordata; Lepidosauria; Squamata; Lacertidae. The record is from the annotation of a GenBank genome assembly.